RNAcentral lists this ribosomal RNA (492 nucleotides) under uncultured bacterium. RNAcentral describes it as "partial 16S ribosomal RNA". It matches the Rfam family "Bacterial small subunit ribosomal RNA", at positions 29 to 507 of the family's 1533-position model. The record is from RNAcentral.
AGUGAACGCUGGCGGUAGGCCUAACACAUGCAAGUCGAACGGCAGCACAGUAAGAUCUUGCUCUUACGGGUGGCGAGUGGCGGACGGGUGAGGAAUACAUCGGAAUCUACUUUUUCGUGGGGGAUAACGUAGGGAAACUUACGCUAAUACCGCAUACUACCUACGGGUUAAAGCAGGGGAUCUUCGGACCUUGCGCGAUUGAAUGAGCCGAUGUCGGAUUAGCUAGUUGGCGGGGUAAAGGCCCACCAAGGCGACGCUCCGUAGCUGGUCUGAGAGGAUGAUCAGCCACACUGGAACUGAGACACGGUCCAGACUCCUACGGGAGGCAGCAGUGGGGAAUAUUGGACAAUGGGCGCAAGCCUGAUCCAGCCAUACCGCGUGGGUGAAGAAGGCCUUCGGGUUGUAAAGCCCUUUUGUUGGGAAAGAAAAGCAGCAGGUUAAUACCCCGCUGUUCUGACGGUACCCAAAGAAUAAGCACCGGCUAACUUCGUG